Amphibalanus amphitrite is the source of this 676-nucleotide long non-coding RNA. RefSeq lists it as uncharacterized. Lineage: Eukaryota; Metazoa; Arthropoda; Thecostraca; Balanomorpha; Balanidae. The transcript is spliced from 2 exons. The record is from RefSeq and is a predicted model, not a curated record.
GAGGACUUGGAGGACAUCGGGCGGUCACCUGAGGUCAGCCCAUCCUGGGAGCUCACCUCAGGUCAUCGGGAGGUCACCUGAGGUCAGUCUACUGGGAGCUCACCGAGGGUUAUUGGGAGGUCACCUGAGGUCAUCGGGAGGUCACCUGAGGCCAUCGGGAGGAAAUUGCUGGUUCACCGAAGGUCAGUCGUGCGGGAGGAGAUACGGAGGUCACUCUGUCAUCGGUGUCCGGGGUACUGCACCACUGAUAUAGUGAGUUCUGAUGCUGAUUUGUGGCGGUUUUGCGUCCUCGUCUGUGUUCUAGGUUCUAUAGAACUAACAUAACUGUUACCUUCUUGUGUGUUUUGGCAGUGCCAGUCUCAUUGGCAGAAACGAAGCACCGAGGGCUUGUGUUAAGUGGUGUUAAUUCUUACCUUUAUUGAAGGCAACACUUGCUGUGCUAAUGUUCGCCUGGUGUGCCCACCGUCGUUGGACUUCCUUCCUCCGCGUCUCAGCAUUCCUCAGCAGGUCGUAUGGUUGUUCUGUUCUGGCUGGCGUAGUUUGAUUUUAAAGUUGUCUCGUUCUGGUUUCGUUUUGCCCUCCGAAGCCCUAAACACCUCCUGUUCCCGCGUCCUCGGUCCAGGCCUGAAGUGUCUUGGGGCUCUUGAAAUUGCCGCUACCUAAAUUGUUUAUCGGA